GACGAACGCUGGCGGCGUGCUUAACACAUGCAAGUCGAACGGAAAGGCCCUGCUUUUGUGGGGUGCUCGAGUGGCGAACGGGUGAGUAACCCGUGAGUAACCUGCCCUUGACUUUGGGAUAACUUCAGGAAACUGGGGCUAAUACCGGCUAGGAGCUCCUGCUGCAUGGUGGGGGUUGGAAAGUUUCGGCGGUUGGGGAUGGACUCGCGGCUUAUCAGCUUGUUGGUGGGGUAGUGGCUUACCAAGGCUUUGACGGGUAGCCGGCCUGAGAGGGUGACCGGCCACAUUGGGACUGAGGUACGGCCCAGACUCCUACGGGAGGCAGCAGUGGGGAAUAUUGCACAAUGGGCGGAAGCCUGAUGCAGCAACGCCGCGUGCGGGAUGACGGCCUUCGGGUUGUAAACCGCUGUCGCCUGUGACGAAGCGUGAGUGACGGUAAUGGGUAAAGAAGCACCGGCUAACUACGUG
RNAcentral lists this ribosomal RNA (468 nucleotides) under uncultured bacterium. Its description in RNAcentral is "partial 16S ribosomal RNA". It matches the Rfam family "Bacterial small subunit ribosomal RNA", at positions 28 to 507 of the family's 1533-position model. The record is from RNAcentral.